CUAGUUGCAACAUUAGUGAAGGUGGCAUCGCUCUAGCAAAAGCCGUACAUGGGUCAGCCCCUGAUAUAGCUGGAAAGAAUCUUGCAAACCCAACUGCUCUCCUGCUGAGUUCCGUUAUGAUGUUGCGCCACUUGAGGCUUACUGACAAAGCUGACCAAAUUCACAAUGCUAUACUUAAUACCAUUUCAGAAGGAAAGUAUCGAACGGUUGAUCUUGGUGGGAAUUCGUCAACUACAGAUUUUACAAAGGCAGUAUGCGAUCAUCUUUAGAAAGUUUGUGCUGUGGCAGCACACCCGGAUAGCUGGUAUACAUAGUAAUUGCUAGUUUGAGUCGGUUGUAGAUUGCCCACACUAGUAUAUAUUAAGUUGCAAUCACAUGAAUAAUGCUCUUGGAGUUUUUCCUCGUCUAUUUAUUCCCAAUUUCUUCGAUUGAAGCAAUACAUGUAAUAAUUAACUAAAGGCAUACAGCACGUUGCACUUGCGACUUCUUCUACAUAUUUUUGUCAACACAUUUUGCAUUUUAUGCAUGAAGCGCAAGUGACUACAUUUUAAAAGCUUGA
This is a long non-coding RNA of Musa acuminata AAA Group (dessert banana), 559 nucleotides long. RefSeq lists it as uncharacterized. The transcript is spliced from 2 exons. The record is from RefSeq and is a predicted model, not a curated record. Lineage: Eukaryota; Viridiplantae; Streptophyta; Magnoliopsida; Zingiberales; Musaceae.